UGGGGGGUCGUCUAGGGGCAAGACAACUGACUCUGGAUCAGUGAACGGGGGUUCGAAUCCUCCCCCCCCAACCA
Molecule: transfer RNA, 74 nt
Filed under: Candidatus Krumholzibacteriia bacterium
Lineage: Bacteria; Candidatus Krumholzibacteriota; Candidatus Krumholzibacteriia
Description: tRNA-Gln
Rfam family: tRNA
About the family: Transfer RNA (tRNA) molecules are approximately 80 nucleotides in length. Their secondary structure includes four short double-helical elements and three loops (D, anti-codon, and T loops). Further hydrogen bonds mediate the characteristic L-shaped molecular structure. tRNAs have two regions of fundamental functional importance: the anti-codon, which is responsible for specific mRNA codon recognition, and the 3' end, to which the tRNAs corresponding amino acid is attached (by aminoacyl-tRNA synthetases). tRNAs cope with the degeneracy of the genetic code in two manners: having more than one tRNA (with a specific anti-codon) for a particular amino acid; and 'wobble' base-pairing, i.e. permitting non-standard base-pairing at the 3rd anti-codon position.
Source: RNAcentral